Molecule: long non-coding RNA, 391 nt
Filed under: Phoenix dactylifera (date palm)
Lineage: Eukaryota; Viridiplantae; Streptophyta; Magnoliopsida; Arecales; Arecaceae
Description: long non-coding RNA (PDAC_LNC022382)
Source: RNAcentral
GGUACGUAGAGACCACCGCGCGAAGGGCGUUCAGUCCGGGUCGUCCGAGGAUAGCGUUGUAGGCCGAGGGAACACGGACGACCAAGAACCCGAGCCGCACCGUGGCUUCUGCGGGUGCAACGCCCGCGGUCACAGGCAGCUCAACGACACCUUCGGCCGAGAUAGCGUCACCAGUGAAUCCUAUGAGGGGGGUGGAUGUUUUGUGCAACAAUUGUCUGGACAAGCUCAUCUUUUAGAAGGCCUCGUAAAACAAACUAUCAGCUGAGCUUCCACUAUCCACAAGAACACGCCUUACAUCAUAGUUCGCCAUAGUGAGGGAGAUCACCAUGGCGUCAUCGUGGGGGGUCUGAACCCCCUUUACAUCUUCAUCACAAAAAGUGAUUACAUUACC